RNAcentral lists this ribosomal RNA (468 nucleotides) under uncultured bacterium. RNAcentral describes it as "partial 16S ribosomal RNA". It matches the Rfam family "Bacterial small subunit ribosomal RNA", at positions 28 to 507 of the family's 1533-position model. The record is from RNAcentral.
GACGAACGCUGGCGGCGUGCUUAACACAUGCAAGUCGAACGGAAAGGCCCUGCUUUUGUGGGUUGCUCGAGUGGCGAACGGGUGAGUAACACGUGAGUAACCUGCCCUUGACUUUGGGAUAACUUCAGGAAACUUGGGCUAAUACCGGAUAGGAGCUCCUGCUGCAUGGUGGGGGUUGGAAAGUUUCGGCGGUUGGGGAUGGACUCGCGGCUUAUCAGCUUGUUGGUGGGGUAGUGGCUUACCAAGGCUUUGACGGGUAGCCGGCCUGAGAGGGUGACCGGCCACAUUGGGACUGAGAUACGGCCCAGACUCCUACGGGAGGCAGCAGUGGAGAAUAUUGCACAAUGGGCGGAAGCCUGAUGCAGCAACGACGCGUGCGGGAUGACGGCCUUCGGGUUGUAAACCGCUUUCGCCUGUGACGAAGAGGGAGUGACGGUAAUGGGUAAAGAAGCACCGGCUAACUACGUG